UCAUUCGACGUGGUGCCAUUUCUCUCUCUGCCGGCAGUCCUGCAACUCGUUUCUCUACUCUACGGUCAUCUUCCUUCAAAUGUUUUAUAUUUUUGCCGUUUACUCAAGAAAAUUUGCAUGAAUAACGAGAUGCCUGAAUUUAUUCUGAAGCGACAUCAGAAGAAGAUAUUAGAGAGCUAUUUUCUAAAGCUCACAAGGACAGCCCCAUCCAUUGUAUUCAUAGAUGAAAUAGAUGCGAUUGCAACUAAAUGGUAAAUUUCCAAUAACGUAAUGGAGCAACAAAUUGUCACAAUACUAAUGUUGUGCAUGGAUAAGUCAUCGAGAAUUGUCAAACCUAUAAAUGAAAGUGGAACUUUAAAGAAUUCUGAUUGCAUGUCUGGGUAUGUACUCAUUAUUGGAGCAACAAAUAGGCCUGAUUCUAUUAAUCCUGCAUUGAUGAGGCUUGGAUGAUUUGACCAUGAGAUUUAGCUUUUGAUCUUAUGAAUAUAGCUUAGUCCACUGCAGGGAUUGUUGGAGCUGACUUGGCAGCACUUACGGACAAAGCUGGCAAUCUAGCAAAUGAAUUGGAUAAUAGGCCAAUGCAAGUAUCAGGUUUCUACAGAACCUGUACAAGGGGAGCUUGUUGAAGAAUGGUGGAGACAACCUUGAUCAUGUGAAGAAAUAGAAAGGCUCGGCAUGACAAUGGCUGAUUUUGAGGACAAGGAUUCGGGGAAGAUGAUUGGACAUGCUAGAGAAUGGGAUGGGCUUUUCCUAACUCGAAUCACCGAGGCAAUCAAGUAUCAUCAAGGGCAAAUUACCUCAUUCUUUUGUUUGAGUUUUUUCAUCCAAUAUAGAGAGUGGCUUCACCAUUGUUGACUUGUACAUGUGUCAUUUAGGGUUAUUAAACAUAAUUCUCAUGUUACUUGGAUUUUUUGGCUCAUACAUAAAUUUGAUGUUAGUACUGUUCAUCCAAAUUUUUGUUCCAUGAUUAAGAAUCAAUUUAAGGUCAAUAUCAAAAGGUUUGGGUUGGUUCAAUCAAGUCCUAUCUCCGUACUUUAAGAAGAAUUAAGGGAUAGUACACGAGUCAUCUUAUGUUAGUACUCUACAGCAAAAUAGAGUAGCAAAAAAGUAAAAUUGACACCUUAAAUCAACCUGAGCCUUCAUGUUCCAUAGAGAUGUACCUAAAUCCUUUUGGGUAGAAGCAGUUCUUACAGCCACACAUCUAAUAAAUCGUUUACCUUCCAGAAUCUUGGGAUUCAAGAGUCAAAUGGAAAUACUAUCGACAUUCUAUCCUAACCUACACACUACAAAUAAUCUUGUCCCUAGGAUGUUUGGGUGUAUAUCAUUUGUCCAUGACCAUAGUCAAAAUAGGGGAAACUUGGAUCCUAGGGUGUUAAGAUGUGUCUUUGUGGUUAUUCGUCAAUUUAGAAAGGGUGCAAGUGUUACCACCCUCCAUCAAAGAAAUUCUAUGUCUCGGUGGUGUUCCUUUCAAUGAAUUAGAGUUGUAUUUCACAGCUCCUUAUCUUUAGGGUGAGAAUUCAAUAAUGGUAAAUAAGGAUAGUUUUUUGCCUAACUUACUGUCACUUUCCAGGUCCAGAUCAGUUCCUCAUUCCACUAUGUUGAAUUCCGUGUCUCCUUGUCUGAACUCGUGCCCGUGCUCAAAAUCCUCAAGAAAAAAGAUGGACUCUACUUUUGAAAAUGUAAAUAUUUGGCAAGGGCAAGGUGUUUUCAAGGAAGAUGGUUGUCCUUGAAUCUGUGCAAGUACAAGACACGAACCCGGAUUUUGAGAAUGCGGCAACAAUUUCUAACCCUUCAUUGCAAGCUAAAACUGAAUCUAAUGUGAGCAAUAAUGACAGGGCCUUCCCAUUGCUCACAAACCGACAUUUAUAUCCUCUUGCACAUUUCUUGUCUUUUAAACAUUUUUCCCCAUCUCAUAGAGCCUUCCUUGUUAGCUUAAACACCAUUGUCAUUCCUGCCACCUUAUCCAAGGCUUUGUCCAAUGAGAAAUAGAAACAAGCUAUGAAUGUAAGGAUAGAGGUCCUUAAAAAAACUUGGGAAUUGGUGAAGUUGCUAACAAGAAAGAGAUUAGUGGGAUGUAAAAUGGGUUUAUAUAGUGAAGUAUAGGGCAGAUGGAUCGAUAGAAAGAUACGAGGGAAAGUUGGUGGCUAAAGGUUAUACUCAAUCAUAUGGAAUCGAUUACCUAGAGACUUAUGCUCCAAUUGCAAAGAUAAAUACUGUUAGAAUCUUGUUGUCAUUAACAACUAAUUAUGGUUGGAAUAGCAGCAUUUUGAUUUUAAGAUUGCAUUGUUUGCCUGGAGAACUAAAGGAAGAAAUUUAUAUAGAGGUCGUAUUAGGUUAUGGGAAUAAUUUGGCUGGUUAUAUUGUGUGUAGGUUGAAGAAAGCCUCUAUGGACUUGAGAAAUCACCAUAGGCAUGGUUUGGAAGAUUUGCAAGAGUUAUGAUAGCCAUGGGAUAUAUAUAGACAAAGCUAAAGGGAUCAUAUGCUGUACAUUAAACACUCACCUUCAAGGGAGUCACAGUUUUCUUAGAAUAUGUUGAUGACACAAUAGUGAUCGGGAUUGAUGAUAAGGAGAAGAUAGUUUGCAAACCAGCAAGUACUUCAUUAGAUUCGAAUGUUAGACUUGGAAAGGUAGAGGAAGAUGUUGCAGUAGACAUGGAAAUGUACCAGUACUUGUAGGAACCUAUUUAUCUGUCACACACAUCCGGAUAUAGCGUAUGCAGUGUUAGCCAGUUCUUGCAUAUCCCCAAGGAACUCUUGGUAGGGAGACCUAUUUCAUUUUUUUUCUUUCACUCCUUUCACCAGUAGGUACGAAUGAGGAGGCGAAUCCAGUGCCACUGAUCAGCCGUUGUGAGUGGCGAAUGUAUUGCCUUAGGCGUUGUUGCUAAACGGAGCUUGAGUUCGUUGCAUACAAUGACGAUCAGAUCCCGUCGUGUACGGCAUUCAGAUCUCGUCGUGCACGACAUUCAGAUCUCGUCCCGAGCGGCAACGAACUUAGAGUGUUGGGCACAGUGGUGUACACUCUGGUUGUCAUGAUGGGUUUGUGGUGGUUUUGUGGUUGAUUUGUAGGAGUUUGGUUAUGUUGCGAUCUGGCAACGAUGAUAGUGUAGGAGUUUGGUGUGUGGUUACUAUGGUGGUGGUAGGUUUGCAUUGAUGUGAUGUAGUGGUUGUUGUGGUGGUGAUUUUGCACGGUCUGGUGAGACGACGGUGGCCAUGGGUAGAUGGGAUGGGAUAGGAGCUGUUUGUGACCAAUUAUUUGGUUGAUUGUGAUCAAUAAAUUGGUUAAUUUGUGACCUAAAAAAUGUAAUUGUGACUCA
Molecule: long non-coding RNA, 3314 nt
Organism: Olea europaea var. sylvestris
Lineage: Eukaryota; Viridiplantae; Streptophyta; Magnoliopsida; Lamiales; Oleaceae
Exons: 3
Source: RefSeq, a predicted model, not a curated record